Molecule: ribosomal RNA, 253 nt
Filed under: uncultured bacterium
Lineage: Bacteria
Description: partial 16S ribosomal RNA
Rfam family: Bacterial small subunit ribosomal RNA
Source: RNAcentral
UACGUAGGGGGCAAGCGUUGUCCGGAAUCAUUGGGCGUAAAGCGCGUGUAGGCGGUUCGAUAAGUCUGCUGUGAAAGUCCAGGGCUCAACUCUGGGAUGCCGGUGGAUACUGUCGGGCUAGAGUACGGAAGAGGCGAGUGGAAUUCCCGGUGUAGCGGUGAAAUGCGCAGAUAUCGGGAGGAACACCAAUUGCGAAGGCAGCUCGCUGGGACGUCACUGACGCUGAGACGCGAAAGCGUGGGUAGCAAACAGG